UAACACGUAGGAGACAAGCGUUAUUCGGAUUUACUGGGCGUAAAGCGCGUGCAGGCGGUUCAGCAAGUUGGAUGUGAAAUCUCCCGGCUUAACUGGGAGAAGUCGUUCAAAACUACUGAACUCGAGAGUGGUAGAGGGAGGUGGAAUUCCGGGUGUAGUGGUAAAAUGCGUAGAUAUCCGGAAGAACACCAGUGGCGAAGGCGGCCUCCUGGACCAUUUCUGACGCUCAGACGCGAAAGCUAGGGGAGCGAACGGG
RNAcentral lists this ribosomal RNA (256 nucleotides) under uncultured bacterium. Its description in RNAcentral is "partial 16S ribosomal RNA". It matches the Rfam family "Bacterial small subunit ribosomal RNA", at positions 521 to 776 of the family's 1533-position model. The record is from RNAcentral.